Molecule: ribosomal RNA, 254 nt
Filed under: uncultured bacterium
Lineage: Bacteria
Description: partial 16S ribosomal RNA
Rfam family: Bacterial small subunit ribosomal RNA
Source: RNAcentral
GCAAGUCGAACGGUAACAGGACAUAGCUUGCUAUUUUGCUGACGAUUGGCGCAGGGUGCGUAACGCGUAUACAAUCUAACUUUUACAGUGGGAUGGCCUUUAGAAAUGAAGAUUAAUACCGCAUAGUAUGUUAACUUGGCAUCAAGUUACCAUUAAAGAUUUAUCGGUAAAAGAUGAGUAUGCGUUCUAUUAGCUAGAUGGUAAGGUAACGGCUUACCAUGGCGACGAUAGAUAGGGGCCCUGAGAGGGGGAUC